GGACCAAGGAGUACAGCAUGUGCGCGAGUCAUUGGGACGAUCGAAUCCUAAAGGCGCAAUGAAAGUAAAAGCUGGCUUGCCAGCCUAGGGAAGAUGGGCGACUUCGGUCACCUCGCACUCCCGGGGCGUCUCGUUCUCAUUGCGAGUUGAGGCGCACCUAGAGCGUACAUGCUGUGACCC
This 180-nucleotide ribosomal RNA is filed under the name Ischnopoda sp. BT-2011. RNAcentral describes it as "partial 28S ribosomal RNA". It matches the Rfam family "Eukaryotic large subunit ribosomal RNA", at positions 663 to 817 of the family's 3401-position model. Lineage: Eukaryota; Metazoa; Arthropoda; Insecta; Coleoptera; Staphylinidae. The record is from RNAcentral.